RNAcentral lists this ribosomal RNA (419 nucleotides) under Phylloscopus chloronotus (pale-rumped warbler). RNAcentral describes it as "Abrornis chloronotus (pale-rumped warbler) partial 12S ribosomal RNA". It matches the Rfam family "Bacterial small subunit ribosomal RNA", at positions 801 to 1419 of the family's 1533-position model. Lineage: Eukaryota; Metazoa; Chordata; Aves; Passeriformes; Phylloscopidae. The record is from RNAcentral.
AAUCUUGAUGCUCGAUCUUACCGGAGCAUCCGCCCGAGAACUACGAGCACAAACGCUUAAAACUCUAAGGACUUGGCGGUGUUCCAAACCCACCUAGAGGAGCCUGUUCUAUAAUCGAUGAUCCACGAUAUACCUGACCAUUCCUUGCCAGAACAGCCUAUAUACCGCCGUCGCCAGCCCACCCAGCAUGAAGGCCCAACAGUGGACGCAAUAGCCCCGCCGCGCUAAUAAGACAGGUCAAGGUAUAGCCUAUGGAAUGGAAGCAAUGGGCUACAUUUUCUAAAUUAGAACAUACGGCAAAGGGACAUGAAACAGUCCCUGGAAGGCGGAUUUAGCAGUAAAGUGGGACAAUCGAGCCCUCUUUAAGCCGGCCCUGGAGCACGUACAUACCGCCCGUCACCCUCCUCAAAAGCGACCCC